Non-coding RNA from Acanthosepion pharaonis, 111 nucleotides. The record is from the annotation of a GenBank genome assembly. Lineage: Eukaryota; Metazoa; Mollusca; Cephalopoda; Sepiida; Sepiidae.
UGGGCAUAUCAUUUUGAAACACCAGUUCCCAUAUGAUCACCAUAGUAAAGCAAUGUCAAGCCUAGUCAGUACCUAGAUGGGUGACUGCUUUGGUAUACCAGCUGCUGUAAG